This 328-nucleotide unclassified non-coding RNA is filed under the name soil metagenome. RNAcentral describes it as "partial contains 5.8S ribosomal RNA, internal transcribed spacer 2, and large subunit ribosomal RNA". The stretch from base 1 to 120 matches the Rfam family "5.8S ribosomal RNA", at positions 35 to 154 of the family's 154-position model. The record is from RNAcentral.
GAUGAAGAACGUAGUGAAAUCCGAUAAGUAAUGUGAAUUGCAGAAUUCAGUGAAUCAUCGAAUCUUUGAACGCACAUUGCGCCCCUUGGUAUUCCGAGGGGCAUGCCUGUUCGAGCGUCAUUAUAACCCCUCAAGCUCAGCUUGGUGUUGGGGCCUGCCGCACGGGCAGCCCUUAAAAUCAGUGGCGGUGCCAUCUGGCUCUAAGCGUAGUAAUUCUUCUCGCUAUAGAGUCCCGGUGGAUGCUUGCCAUUAACCCCCAAUUUUCUAUGGUUGACCUCGGAUCAGGUAGGGAUACCCGCUGAACUUAAGCAUAUCAAUAAGCGGAGGA